RNAcentral lists this long non-coding RNA (3196 nucleotides) under Homo sapiens (human). RNAcentral's name for it is "HSALNT0150577". Lineage: Eukaryota; Metazoa; Chordata; Mammalia; Primates; Hominidae. The record is from RNAcentral.
GUACUUCUGAAAUGCUUUAUUAGGUUCUAUAAAGGGGUUAAAAUGGUGAUUUUUCAAUCGUAUUCAAAGACAGCACAGCAUCUUUUAGAAAUCUGACUCUGGCUAGAGUAGACCUGGAAACACAUUGGAUGGAGGAAUCACAGCAAGUCACUAAGAUCAGAAUUACUGCUGGACCAUGAAAGUAAACAGGAAAAGACAAAAAAUAUUUUAAAUUAAUCCCAAAUAUACAUCUGUUAAUUGCCAUUUCAAUUCUUCAAAUAUUUGCAUAUGCAAAUGUGCCCAUUCAACACUGAAUUAUUAAAAUUGAGGCAGACAAUUGAGCUUUGCACACAGCAAAGGCAGCCUGGAAUGGAGAAAACUGACUGGAGGUUGAGGAGAGAAAACAUAGGAAACUUCCACUCUUUCUCUUUGUGAUAAGGGAACCUGGUAAUGACCCAGAGACCCUGGGAACUCUGGAAAAGGGCAGCUCUAAAUGGAGGAAGGACACCUUGCAGGGGGAGAGGAAUUAAGGAUUUGUUUGGUUUUCACAAACAUGUCUACGGUAAAUCCCCGUGUGGAGAGAAUGCUUUUUAAGCUCCUGUUAUGUCCCAGACACUGGACAGGCACACAGACCUGUGGUCUCGCAGAGGCUUCAGGUGUGAUACCCCAAAAUAUGACUGACACCUUGGAAACUGAAAAAACAGCAGAAGUAGGAAGGCGUCUCUGACCUUCUCUCAGGCUUUCCUCCCCUGAAGCAGACCAUAAAACCCAGGAUCGUCACUCUCCGACCUCUUCUGUUCCUUCUCCCCUGAAGACACUCAUGUGGCAGGUGCCCACACAGAAGAAACUGAACAAACAGGUCUUACUACAUUUCUCCCAGUUUGUUACCUUUGGAUCAGACCCUUUUGUCCUUCAAUUAUACUUCUGUAUGGCUGUCCAUAAAAAUACAGUUUUCCCUGGGUCUUUGGGGCUUUGCUUCUGAAGGCUCACAUGUCAUGUAAGAUUUACAUGAAAUGCAUUUGCAAGCUUUUUGCUUAUUACUCUUUUGUCAUAGGGUUGUUGGCCAUGAACUUUACAAUGAGUGAGGAAAGAAAUCUUUUCUCCCCUACACAGACAAUAAGCAAGAAAACAAAUAAUUCAAAAUGUCAGAGAGUAGCACACACUACAAAGAUAAAGCAGAACGAUAAUGAUUGGAGUAGAAGCAGGUCUACGUUAGAUUAAGGGGCUAGGAGUCUGUCUGAGGAGAUAUUGAGACCUGAAUGGCAAGAAGAAGCCAGCCCUGUAAGAAUAGAUGGGAAGAGAUCAAAGCAGAGGGAAUACAUGGUCAAAGGUACGGAUAGAAGGCCGACCCAGCAUGAGCGGGGGAGUAGAUGUGCUCAGAGAGGCAAGGGGAACUCAUAGGGCCCACUCGGUCAGGGUAGGAUGUUAGGGUUUUAUUCCAGAUGUGGUGUGAAGCCAUCAGAGGAGGAACAUGUUCUCAUGUGUGGUUUUAUAAAGAUCACUCCAGCUGCCAUGUGGAGGGCAAGGCUGCUGUGUAGGGGCGGAAGAGUCCCAGACCUCUUAGUGCUCUAUCUCAUCACCUACCUAAGAGAUAGUGAUGGCUUGGACCAAGAAAGGUAGCAAUGAAAAUGAAGAAAAGGAAAACAAUAAUAACAUAACAUAUAUUUUGAAAGUAAAGCCAACAUAGAAGUAAAAUAAAAAUCAGCCUCCACUAAUUGACUACUUCUAAUGCUGUACAUAUUUAUACUAUGGCAUUAAUAAUACUAAAAUAGAUUGUGCUAAUAAGGCAUAUUUCAACUGUGUGAAGAUUUACCACUGUGAGUCACAACUCCUGAUUUCCCAAAAUGGAAAUUACAGAAAGAAGCCAAAAAGACCAAUUCAGAGUGACCCAGUGUAGCAGAUGUUGGAAAUUUCCUGGCUGCUACUAUUUGAACAUUCUUCCUGUAUUUUGGGAAUUCCUCCAUAAAUAAAUCCUUGAUGGGAGGCAGACCCCUAGCCGUAGUUCCCAUUGCAAAACAAUUUUUGCCGUAGCAUGGAUCUGUCAGUUAUUCUUAGCAUGGAGCCUUUAGAGCGCCAUGUGCUCUAAUUCACAUGAUCUCGUUCCACAUUAACCAAAAAGUCUUUGAUUGUGAUUUGUCUCUACAAGGAGAUCUUUCUACAAAGAAAAGAAAAAGAAAACGACCAGCAUUUUUUUAAACCGCCUAAUAUGGCCAGCAUUGUGAUAGGAAUCUGAAAAUAUAUUGUUUCACUUAAUCCUCAAACCAUCUCUACCAAUUUGGUAUUAUUGGCUUUAUUUUACAAAUUAGAAAAAAAGAGAGAGAAUCAGAGAGUUUAAGAAAUUUACCCAAAAUCACAUUGUUACUAAGUAGCAAAAUCAAACUGCUCAAUUCAAAUCCUGGUUAAUUCCAGAGUUUUCGGUGUAGAUUUGCUUUGCGCUUUAUGGAUCUCAUAAGAAGGAAACAGUGGUCAAGAAAAUGAAAAAAUACUACAGCCAUCUAGACUGAUUUACAUGUAAAAGGGGAUAAAAUUGAGAUCAGGAAAACCAGAGGACAGGGAGAAAGAAGAGCCAGAGUGCAAAAAAUUUGGGGAGGAUUUGCAAAAUGUUAAGGGAUAAAAAGUGGGAAUUUUAGGUAACUGCCAUCUGUGAUGUGUGAAAUAUUAAAAAAGAAAUGUGAGACGGAAUUUUAAGAAAAUAUGCUAUGUAUGGGUUUCCUCUUCGGUGCAGCUUCAUGAGAUUUCAGGAAAAAUUACAUUGUUUUCAAUGCUUUGAGGGCUACCUGACUGGAGUUUCCUUUAUGAGGACAUCAUUGAGAUGAACCAUGAGGCAACCCAGCCUCUUGUAGGUUGCGUGAGUCUCUCACGGAAUUUUCUGUUUCAAGCAGAGAGGAGUAGCCCAUGUCUCUUUCAACCACACAACAGUGACUUCUGAAUAAACAAGCAACCAUAAUAUCCCUAUGGCUGCCUCUGGCUCACACGGUUUUGAAAGAUUCCAGUUGCUACAUCUCCACCAGAGCCUUGUGUGGCAGUAGACUAGAAUCACGUGAAGUACGUAUAUAAUUUUCACAACUUUAAUUCUGUAAGUGCGGCAAAGGGAAGAAAAGAAGAAUUAAAAUAAUGUUAGAAGACAAAACCAAUUAUCAUCCUAGGAUGUGCUUCAUCGUGUUCCUCAAUUAUCUCCAUCCUGCGAUUGUUUAUUGUGUCUGAACCCCGUAUUCAG